Molecule: ribosomal RNA, 343 nt
Filed under: uncultured bacterium
Lineage: Bacteria
Description: bacterial SSU rRNA
Rfam family: Bacterial small subunit ribosomal RNA
Source: RNAcentral
GACGAACGCUGGCGGCGUGCCUAACACAUGCAAGUCGAACGGGGUGAAGAGCUUCGGCUUUUCACUUAGUGGCGAACGGGUGAGUAACGCGUGAGAAACCUGCCUUUCAGUGGGGGACGAACAGUUGGAAACGACUGCUAAUACCGCAUAAUGUAUAUCGAGGGCAUCCUUGAUAUACCAAAGGAGCAAUCCGCUGAAAGAUGGGCUCGCGGCCGAUUAGCUAGAUGGUGAGGUAACGGCCCACCAUGGCGACGAUCGGUAGCCGGACUGAGAGGUUGAACGGCCACAUUGGGACUGAGACACGGCCCAGACUCCUACGGGAGGCAGCAGUUGGGGGGAGUAA